CACAAGCGGUGGAGCAUGUGGUUUAAUUCGAAGCAACGCGAAGAACCUUACCAAAUCUUGACAUCCUUUGACAACUCUAGAGAUAGAGCCUUCCCCUUCGGGGGACAAAGUGACAGGUGGUGCAUGGUUGUCGUCAGCUCGUGUCGUGAGAUGUUGGGUUAAGUCCCGCAACGAGCGCAACCCUUAAGCUUAGUUGCCAUCAUUAAGUUGGGCACUCUAAGUUGACUGCCGGUGACAAACCGGAGGAAGGUGGGGAUGACGUCAAAUCAUCAUGCCCCUUAUGAUUUGGGCUACACACGUGCUACAAUGGACAAUACAAAGGGCAGCGAAACCGCGAGGUCAAGCAAAUCCCAUAAAGUUGUUCUCAGUUCGGAUUGUAGUCUGCAACUCGACUACAUGAAGCUGGAAUCGCUAGUAAUCGUAGAUCAGCAUGCUACGGUGAAUACGUUCCCGGGUCUUGUACACACCGCCCGUCACACCACGAGAGUUUGUAACACCCGAAGCCGGUGGAGUAACCUUUUAGGAGCUAGCCGUCGAAGGUGGGACAAAUGAUUGGGGUGAAGUCGUAACAAGGUAGCCGUAUCGGAAGGUGCGGCUGGAUCACCUCCUUUCUAAGGA
This 618-nucleotide ribosomal RNA is filed under the name Staphylococcus aureus. RNAcentral describes it as "bacterial SSU rRNA". It matches the Rfam family "Bacterial small subunit ribosomal RNA", at positions 924 to 1533 of the family's 1533-position model. The record is from RNAcentral. Lineage: Bacteria; Bacillati; Bacillota; Bacilli; Caryophanales; Staphylococcaceae.